This 55-nucleotide transfer RNA is filed under the name Caenorhabditis japonica. RNAcentral's name for it is "tRNA-Ser". The record is from RNAcentral. Lineage: Eukaryota; Metazoa; Nematoda; Chromadorea; Rhabditida; Rhabditidae.
AACGAGUUUGUAAGCAAGUCUUCUAAAUUUGUUCUAGGUUAGAUCCUGCUCGUUU